This is a long non-coding RNA of Cavia porcellus (domestic guinea pig), 832 nucleotides long. RefSeq lists it as uncharacterized. The record is from RefSeq and is a predicted model, not a curated record. The transcript is spliced from 5 exons. NCBI's taxonomy places the organism in Eukaryota, Metazoa, Chordata, Mammalia, Rodentia, Caviidae.
GCAGCCGCAGCUCCGCAGGGAUAGCGGAGCGCCAAGGUAGCAGCGCUUCCUCUCCAUCCGCAAGGUGCUGUGUUGCAGCCUAUACCGGUGUUGUGCUCUGUGUUCCCUGCUGCCUUCCGUCUCCGCACCCGGCUAAGUCACUGCGGGUGCGCGCUCGGAGCGUGCUCUCCGCUCGGCUCUUAAAGGCUUGAGGUUUCUCCCUCACGUCUUUCUGCUUCGCAGCCUCCUGGAGGCAGAUGGAAACUUUUCCUUGGCCAGCGCUGCUGGUUCUGCAGCACCCAGCGCGCCCUGCCCUGGGCAUUCUAGGGACCCAAUGUCCUGAUGUCUUGGAAGUUGUCAGAUCAGGAGCACCAUAGACUCCAGUGUCAUUGAGGGAUGCUGCCCUGGGUCUGGAGACUACUGAAAGAAUGUCAGGAUAAUGGCAUGGGGUUCCUGUUCCCCUGAAGGGGUCUCCUCAUGUUGGUUGUGAUGUAGAUCAUGGACACUGGCAUAGCGGAGUGAAGAAGGACAUCAAUGCACAACGCAUUCCAGGCCUUAAUGCAGUGACCUCAGCACAACACGGAACACCUUUUCGCUCUGCAUGAGCAGGCAUAGGAGAAGCCUAGAAUUCUGGGGAUUUGGGUUCCAGAGUAGAGACCUAGCUGAUUCUACCCCAUGCCAGCAGACCCAAAGAGUGCCAUGGAUGAGAAGUCUCCCUAUAUCUGGCCGCCUCCAGUCUUCCCUAUUCCGGUGUAACUUUUAGACCCAAGAGAUCCUUGUGAAGUGUUCUGUACUCUGUACUAUUGUCUUCUUGACCACUUCAAUAAAUGUUGAACAUGCUAUUAUGCUACUA